Molecule: transfer RNA, 73 nt
Filed under: Camelus bactrianus (Bactrian camel)
Lineage: Eukaryota; Metazoa; Chordata; Mammalia; Artiodactyla; Camelidae
Also listed under: 2 other names
Rfam family: tRNA
About the family: Transfer RNA (tRNA) molecules are approximately 80 nucleotides in length.
Source: Rfam by way of RNAcentral
GAGGGUGUAGCUCAAGUGGUAGAGUGUGUGUCUAGCACGCACGAGGUCCUGGGUUCAAUCUCCAGUACCUCCA